AGCAUAAAGAGAUAGUUAUGAGCCAUAAGAAAAUCUUAUGACUUAACUUUUACACAACUACGCUUAAGAGUUUUAGCAACAAAGAAAAAAGAUCAGUCCACUGUACAUAUUAGCAUAGAUGGGUAGCUGGUUUUUACUACCAACAGUUGACUCCAAUCCUCCUGUUGGUAAGAAUGGGAAGGAUAAUGCGUUUUGUAAGCAUUAAGUUUAUGAAUCUAUCUAAAAUAUUAUUUAAUCUCUCACUAUAAUAAUUCUGUGGUUAUGCUAAGAGCCGUGUAUAUUUCUGGUGAUUCUUUUGUUAAUCCUUCUAGGAUAGCAAAGAUGCAGAACCUUCACUGUUCUAUUAUUUUCUCAGAAUAUCUUUAAUAAGACUAACCUCUUUAAUUCUAGUGCAGAUUUCCAAAUGUGGUCACUAGCCAUUGAUUUCAUAGGAAAAAAACUCAUCAGAUUUAUAUUCCUAUUGGAGAGCUUGGCCUUCAUGAUUUCUAGAAAUGAUUCUGGCUGUGGAACCAAAGUUUCAAAUGCAGUUAAUGUUUUCAGUGCGGUUCAGUCCUAAGACUUUAUUUCGGUUGAAUAAAAUCU
This 582-nucleotide long non-coding RNA is filed under the name Bos taurus (domestic cattle). Its description in RNAcentral is "long non-coding RNA NONBTAT000999". Lineage: Eukaryota; Metazoa; Chordata; Mammalia; Artiodactyla; Bovidae. The record is from RNAcentral.